Zingiber officinale is the source of this 1525-nucleotide long non-coding RNA. RefSeq lists it as uncharacterized. The transcript has 4 exons. The record is from RefSeq and is a predicted model, not a curated record. Lineage: Eukaryota; Viridiplantae; Streptophyta; Magnoliopsida; Zingiberales; Zingiberaceae.
CCCCCUCCCCCGAUUCCCUUCCUCCUCGAUUCUUCUCUCCCUCGCGCGAGUUCCCUUCUCCCGAGCCCUCUCUCGCGACUUCUUCUCGCUUGAUCGCCGGUCGCCACGAGCUCAUCACCGGCAAUAAUCCCUCCUCCAGCGUGCCUAGGCCGAGUCUCCCUCCUCCCUCUCCUUCUCGAGGCGUGAGGUCUUCGUCCUCUUUCUUUCUUGCGGGCGAUCGACGGUGAUCCGGCAGAGCUAGGGCACGACAGGGGGGAGUUGAUUCGCAUCUUUCUUGGUGGAUCGAGCCCCUCUCAGCUUUUCUAUUUGAUCUAUUCAUUGGAGGGGGUUGCGAAUCGUCUCCAGUUGAGGUGGAUCGCGCGGAUCGAUUGAGAGGAAACAGAGGAUCCGCGUGCUGUGGACGUUUCCUAUUGCCGGUCACUGCCCUCUCCACUUCUUGAAGUUGUGGAGGGUUGCUGCUCGGGUUCACCAUUGGAUAGAUCACCAAUGUCGGCAGAGGUCAGUAGCCCUUGUUCUUCACAGUGCAUUUGGAGGGGAAGUUGCUACGAAUCUGGAUUUGGGCUCCAGCAGUGAUUUCCUUCAGCAACAAAUCAUGAUCUGGAGCAUCUGGAUUGAGCUUCUUGGCAGUGAGCAUCACACCUGUGGCUUCCAACAGUGGGUUGCUCGGAUCGCAAGCUAACAGUGGAGUGCAAUGGAAUUGGGAUUUUGGAUAUGGGACGAUCAUCACGAUGUGUGAUUUAUUUUAUCACGAUUGACAGAUUUAAGGCGGGUAUUUCUUCCUUGGCUCUAUGUAGAUUUUUAUUGAGCUUAGUGCAUGGUUUUCUUUGAUGGAUUAGGUUGUUUUACCUUAUAUCGUGUUCGUAUGUCGCUUUCCUGCUUGAUACUGAUCCUUGACCCUUGUGAUGAUCUAUUUAAUUCUUAUACAGUCUGCACUUUGGUUAUCUUUACUCUGUGGCAUUUUUACAUGUAGAGUAUGUAUGGUAGGGGAUACCUCGUUGGUGGCAUUCAUAUGAUGAUUGUCCAUUUGUAUGUCGUGUAUACAUUUGUCUGGUGAGAUGAUUGGGGGAAUUGUGUUGAUUGUAUAUUUGUUGUAUAUACACGUGUCUGAUGUGUUUACCGGAGGAUACAUGUUGAUUGUAUUUAUGUACAUGUGUCUUGUGGGAUUAUUGGAGAUUUUUAGUUGAUUGUACAUAUGUAGUUGUGUACAUAUGUUUGGGGGGAUAUGUGGAGGUACCACGACGAUUAUAUUCUUGUUGUGCAGUGUUUAUGUGGUUUAGAGGUUGCAUGGAUGAUGACGGUGUUUGUAUCAUGAUUAUAUAUAUAUAUAUCAUGUUCAUCAUUCAUUGCAUCUGACGACUAGUCUCCUUUGUGGUUGAGAGGGUCGUCAGUCGUUUAUAGCUAUCCUCUCGACCACUGAUGGAGAGUGGUAGGAGUGGAGCUAGUCCUGUCGCGCUCAUUCAGCCGCUCAGUGUUCUGUCAGCCUCGACCACUCUGGAGUAGUGGGUCUUGAGGGUACAGUAGUCAG